GGGCAAUUGUCUUGUAAUUGGAAUGAUGGUGACCUAAACCCUCACCAGAGUAACAAUUGGAGGGCAAGUCUGGUGCCAGCAGCCGCGGUAAUUCCAGCUCCAAUAGCGUAUAUUAAACUUGUUGCAGUUAAAAAGCUCGUAGUUGAAUUUCUGCGUUAUCGAGUUAUUGACUCUUGUCUUUAAUCGAUUUCGCUUUUGGGAUUUAUCCCUUUUUACUUUGAGAAAAUUAGAGUGUUUCAAGCAGACUUUUGUCUUGAAUACUUCAGCAUGGAAUAAUAGAGUAGGACUUUGGUUCUAUUUUGUUGG
This 306-nucleotide ribosomal RNA is filed under the name Babesia venatorum (nom. ined.). RNAcentral's name for it is "SSU rRNA". It matches the Rfam family "Eukaryotic small subunit ribosomal RNA", at positions 488 to 847 of the family's 1831-position model. The record is from RNAcentral. Lineage: Eukaryota; Apicomplexa; Aconoidasida; Piroplasmida; Babesiidae.